Molecule: ribosomal RNA, 443 nt
Filed under: uncultured bacterium
Lineage: Bacteria
Description: partial 16S ribosomal RNA
Rfam family: Bacterial small subunit ribosomal RNA
Source: RNAcentral
CCUACGGGUGGCAGCAGUGGGGAAUAUUGGGCAAUGGAGGCAACUCUGACCCAGCAACGCCGCGUGAGUGAUGAAGGUCUUCGGAUUGUAAAACUCUUUAAGUGGGGACGAAGAAAGUGACUGUACCCACAGAAUAAGCCUCGGCUAACUACGUGCCAGCAGCCGCGGUAAUACGUAGGAGGCAAGCGUUAUCCGGAAUGACUGGGCGUAAAGGGUGCGUAGGUGGUUUGGCAAGUUAGUAGCGUAACUCCAAGGCUCAACCUUGGAACUACUACUAAAACUGUUGGACUUGAGUGCAGGAGGGGCAACCGGAAUUCCUAGUGUAGCGGUGGAAUGCGUAGAUAUUAGGAGGAACACCAGUGGCGAAGGCGGGUUGCUAGACUGUAACUGACACUGAGGCACGAAAGCGUGGGGAGCAAACAGGAUUAGAUACCCUUGUAGUC